RNAcentral lists this ribosomal RNA (399 nucleotides) under uncultured bacterium. RNAcentral describes it as "bacterial SSU rRNA". It matches the Rfam family "Bacterial small subunit ribosomal RNA", at positions 975 to 1375 of the family's 1533-position model. The record is from RNAcentral.
CAGGUCUUGACAUCCUCUGACAACCCUAGAGAUAGGGCUUUCCCUUCGGGGACAGAGUGACAGGUGGUGCAUGGUUGUCGUCAGCUCGUGUCGUGAGAUGUUGGGUUAAGUCCCGCAACGAGCGCAACCCUUGAUCUUAGUUGCCAGCAUUCAGUUGGGCACUCUAAGGUGACUGCCGGUGACAAACCGGAGGAAGGUGGGGAUGACGUCAAAUCAUCAUGCCCCUUAUGACCUGGGCUACACACGUGCUACAAUGGACAGAACAAAGGGCUGCGAGACCGCAAGGUUUAGCCAAUCCCACAAAUCUGUUCUCAGUUCGGAUCGCAGUCUGCAACUCGACUGCGUGAAGCUGGAAUCGCUAGUAAUCGUGGAUCAGCAUGCCGCGGUGAAUACGUUCCC